RNAcentral lists this ribosomal RNA (253 nucleotides) under uncultured bacterium. RNAcentral describes it as "partial 16S ribosomal RNA". It matches the Rfam family "Bacterial small subunit ribosomal RNA", at positions 524 to 776 of the family's 1533-position model. The record is from RNAcentral.
UACGUAGGGGGCUAGCGUUGUCCGGAAUCAUUGGGCGUAAAGAGCGUGUAGGCGGCCCGGUAAGUCCGCUGUGAAAGUCGGGGGCUCAACCCUCGAAUGCCGGUGGAUACUGUCGGGCUAGAGUGCGGAAGAGGCGAGUGGAAUUCCUGGUGUAGCGGUGAAAUGCGCAGAUAUCAGGAGGAACACCCGUGGCGAAAGCGGCUCUCUGGGACGGUACUGACGCUGAGACGCGAAAGCGUGGGGAGCAAACAGG